Molecule: long non-coding RNA, 982 nt
Filed under: Homarus americanus (American lobster)
Lineage: Eukaryota; Metazoa; Arthropoda; Malacostraca; Decapoda; Nephropidae
Description: uncharacterized LOC121864627, transcript variant X3
Source: RNAcentral
GGGGAGGCCCUCCCAUACACACCCUCACUCCCAUCCAUACACUCACCCUCUCUCACACCUUUAAUGUGUGUGGAUGGGACUAAGGUUUUCUCAUUUCUUUCAGAUUGUGUGCCUCCGAGGUGAACGUCUGACUGAAGUGAAGGCGUGGCUGACUGUGGACCUACAAGGUGCUUCUUGGAGGUAAUAAAGAUACAUCAGUGAUGGUGGGGCCGUCACAUUAUCAGCUGUUGUGGAUUUCUCAAACAUCUGUAUUGCAGACUCCACAUAAGGUAAAACACUUCCAUUCAGCAAUUGUUGUGCAGUGUCCAGAUUGUCAACAUUUAGUUCAGUAUGAUGUUACUUCUGGCCAGCUUAACCUGAGGAGAAAGUCAGUACAGUGCACGAUUAGAUUUUGAAAUGGAAACUGCAAAGUAUGCAAGCUAUUGAUUUUUAAUAAUUUAAACAAGUGAAAUUUUUUCUAGCUUAACUUUCUGAAUUCAUGAUCAGUUAACUAGUGGCAAAUUUUAAGUUACGUUCUUUAAUAUAUUUGUUAUCCAAUAUAUGAACCUAUAUAAUAGGUAACAAUAUUAAUUUGGGUCAGUCUAGAUUAGUUACAUUUAAUCUAAGUUAGGCUGAUUAGGUUAGUUAAGUUGUUAGUUAAAACCCACCUACAAACAACCAGCUUUACUUACUAUUAAUCACUUUACUACUACUAAUGCUCACUAAUACUGUAACUAAUUGGCAUUUAGUCCUGUACAUUUUUAUAGCACUUUAUUAAGCUUUCCCAAAUCUCUACAGCUAAUCUUAAUUUGACUCCCAGCUCAGUCUAUCUAGACAGUCCACACAGUUCUCCAGAGCCCUUUGUGAAAUUGCAGUUUCGUCCAAUAUGCCCUCGUAUUUUAGAAAUUAGUUUAUCCUGUGUAUUUUGGGUCGAUUUAAUGGAAUUUGACCUUUAUUUCCAGGGGAAAGAACCCUCUUUAGAAUUAUAUCCCCCCCCCCCCCA